This is a long non-coding RNA of Capsicum annuum, 2531 nucleotides long. RefSeq lists it as uncharacterized. The transcript is spliced from 5 exons. The record is from RefSeq and is a predicted model, not a curated record. NCBI's taxonomy places the organism in Eukaryota, Viridiplantae, Streptophyta, Magnoliopsida, Solanales, Solanaceae.
AAUGCAUAUUAUUUCUUAUGUCUAUUAUAGGAGACUUAUCUUGAGGGGUUGUGAGUCCACUACUAGAAAUUAUCCCUAUGACAACGAACUUUUUGGCAAUGGUUCCUAAAGUAUUGUCAUAGAUGGUCUAUUGCAAUGGUUUCAAGUGUUGCUAAAAAAAUUAUUUUAGCACAAUAAUUUAUUACUGUAACCAUCACUUUUUCAAUUGAAAUAGGUGGUCAUAUCUAUAACACCCAAUUGGGAAAAAAAUCUAUUGGGUUGCUUAUUUUUAUUCCCUCUAUAAUAUUGGACAAGGCUUUCUAAAUAUUUAGAAACUGUUUCCAAAACCCUUUCUGUACUGCUCUCAAUCGAUUUACUCGCUCAAAAAAUUAAGAAAUCGAUUUGCUUUCUCCCUCCAACCACCACUGUACCUGUACGUGCUGCUCUGACCAUUUUGGAGCCUCUCCAACCAUUUGGAGUUGCUCCCACCAUCACUACUCCGAUGGUGCUCCGACCACCAUUUUGGAGCUAUUACCGGAAAUUCAAACCGAAGGACACUGCUUCUCCGACUUUAAUUUCAGCCCCUCUAUUGCUACAACCACCACUUCAAUUUUAGCUCUCAAAUUUGCACUUCAAUUUUUGAGAAAUUUUAGGAUUUCCUUCUUCAAUUUGUCGAUUUUAAGGUUAGUAUAUUCUUCUAAUUAAUGAUUUUGAUCUAAUUUUGUGAGUUUCUAUUUUAGGGUUUUCUUCUCUCACUUUGAUUGCUUACCAAAUAUUUGGCAAUGGGUUUAAAUUUUGACAUGCACUAAUAUUUGGAUGUGAAAGCCUUAUGAAUUUGCAAUAAAUGAUCAGGUUUAUGCUGAAGAUAUUUGAAUGUUGAUUUAUAGCCGAGUAUUGGGCUAUGUUUUCUAUUUUUGAUAGUUUACUGGUGCAAAUUUUUGCAUUUCUUAUCUUUACUAUAAAAAAUGAGUUAUAAACACUGGUGGGUUUGGACUGGUGACUAUUGUUCUCAUACUUCUAAUGUCUAAGGUUGUUCAUGAUAAAGACUUGCCUAUACUCUGACAUAAUUCUAUCUUCAUCUUGAUCUUCGCGAUGCUAACUAACAUUAUUGUAUUUAUGGCAAGUACUUUAAGAAUUUGUAUUUAUGUCAAGACUUACCAGCUAUUUGUUGGAUGCUACUGGAUUUUACUCUCUAGGACUCCAUGCUUUAGGUAUUCAUAUUUUUUGGGCUACAGGAACUGGUAUGUCUGUAGACUAUUUAUUCUUAGUAUCUCUCUGUAAUCAAGCCCUCUCAACAAGGUAAAACUUUUACAUCCUCUAUUCAAUUUGUAUCUUACUUUUCUUUUUAGUUUGUAGGUUCAAAAAGAAUGUCACUUUUUAUGUUUAAUAACUCGGUAACUCAAUAUUCCGUAUGAUAUUCUUAAGAUCACAAGAUUUAAGGUCAGUGUGAUACAUUAUACACCUUUUUGGUUUAAGAACACCGUAUUUAAAAGUCACCUUUUUGGUUUAAGAACACCGUAUUUAAAAGUCUCUCUUACUUUAUUAAACAUCAAGUUUAAUCAAAUUAAGACAUAUGAAAUGAAACAAGGAGAAGGUACUCUUUCUUUUACCCAAGAUUCUCCAUAUUUCUUUCAUUAUUACUAAUGUCCUACUAUUUUUUUAACUUGUGCAAGUGAAAAUACCUGGAUAGCCAAUGAACUUCUUUACUCCAUAAAAACUAUCUGCCAAACAAAGAGACCAGGGGUUUCAAACGCAAAGCCAAUUAUAGUUGAUCCAGGAUUGUACACAACUCAAAAGGCGGAUAUUUUUUGAAUUACACAAAGAAGAAGUGUGUCAACUGCUUUUAAGCUUUUCACUAGUAAGGACUGGGAACUAAUUAGAAUUCAAUGAUAUCAAUGUUGGGACACAGAAAUGCAAGCCAGAGGAGGAAGAUCAGGGAAACGUAUCACCAACUUUACAACAAGUCUCUUAUCGAUGAUAUCUUUUCUGAAUUUCUUGUUAUUUCAGGGCUUGAGGAUUUAUAUUUGGUCCACCAAUUGCUUUGGCGAUAUGGGCAAAGUUUGUCCCUUUGAGAAAACUAAAGAAAUUGCCAGGUGCAGGAGCAAAUUCACUUUAUGAAACCUCUGCAGAUCAAAUCACUGCAACCAAUAUUGCCAAAGAGUGUUUACUAGCAGCUUUGAAAGCAGACUCAAAAGCAGCUCACAUUUGGGAAAAAUCUAGAUAAUGCUUAUUACUUGAUGAGUGACCAUAAGAUUUCUGCUAAAUGCUUGGAAAAGGUGCUUCUUCUUCAAGCUUAAAACCUCUCUUUUAUCUAAUGUAUAAGUAAAUUACACUCUUUUGCUUUAAUGAGUAGGCAGGAAAAAUUGAACAUUAUUGUUUAGCAACAAGAUAUGCUAUUGGAGUUCACCGCAUCAGGGCUGCAGAGAGGUUGCAGAAUCCUAAAAGCAGCUCUCAUGGGCUGGUAGUGAGAUAGAGUUCAUCGCAUUUAAUGUAUAAGCUUGUUAUAUAUUUUGAAUUAUGAGAUUAUUAAUGAAUGAUUUUGUUUUGUGAUA